GACGAACGCUGGCGGCGUGCUUAACACAUGCAAGUCACGGGGGUCCCGCAAGGGAUAACCGGCGAACGGGUGCGUAACACGUGAACAACCUGCCCUCGUGUGGGGGAUAGCCAUGCUAACGCGUGGGUAAUACCGCACACGUUCCUCUGGGGGAGUCCCUGGGGGAGGAAAGCUCCGGCGCACGGGGAGGGGUUCGCGGCCUAUCAGCUAGUUGGGGGGU
Molecule: ribosomal RNA, 220 nt
Filed under: uncultured bacterium
Lineage: Bacteria
Description: partial 16S ribosomal RNA
Rfam family: Bacterial small subunit ribosomal RNA
Source: RNAcentral